CUAGGUCAUUUUUACACUCAUUCACACAUUGCAAAACAUUUUGGAGGAAGAGGUAGAAAGAAAAAGUGAGGCAAUAAGGGUUAGAAGAAGAUCUAGACAGGGAAAGCUUAGAUUGGAGCUUUGGAGCAAAAUUGAGGCUAGAAUUAUAAUUCUUGAAGGUUUAAGGUAAGGGGGAUAGUGCUCUUUCGUGAAUAAGCUAUAAUAUAUUUUUCUACUUAAUUGAAUAAGUGCUAAUUUAUGAGUAGUGAUUAUUUUUGUGAAAUUUUAAGGAAGCAACACCGUUCCAAAUUCACAUUUUACACAAAAG
Molecule: long non-coding RNA, 307 nt
Filed under: Medicago truncatula (barrel medic)
Lineage: Eukaryota; Viridiplantae; Streptophyta; Magnoliopsida; Fabales; Fabaceae
Description: long non-coding RNA (MTRU_LNC003182)
Source: RNAcentral